RNAcentral lists this ribosomal RNA (783 nucleotides) under uncultured Dialister sp. Its description in RNAcentral is "bacterial SSU rRNA". It matches the Rfam family "Bacterial small subunit ribosomal RNA", at positions 28 to 776 of the family's 1533-position model. The record is from RNAcentral. Lineage: Bacteria; Bacillati; Bacillota; Negativicutes; Veillonellales; Veillonellaceae.
GACGAACGCUGGCGGCGUGCUUAACACAUGCAAGUCGAACGGAAAGAGAUGAAAGAGCUUGCUCUUUUAUUAAUUUCAGUGGCAAACGGGUGAGUAACACGUAAACAACCUGCCUUAAGGAUGGGGAUAACAGACGGAAACGACUGCUAAUACCGAAUACGUUCUAAGCAUCGCAUGGUGCAUAGAAGAAAGGGUGGCCUCUACAAGAAAGCUAUCGCCUUAAGAGGGGUUUGCGACUGAUUAGGUAGUUGGUGAGGUAACGGCUCACCAAGCCGACGAUCAGUAGCCGGUCUGAGAGGAUGAACGGCCACACUGGAACUGAGACACGGUCCAGACUCCUACGGGAGGCAGCAGUGGGGAAUCUUCCGCAAUGGACGAAAGUCUGACGGAGCAACGCCGCGUGAACGAAGAAGGUCUUCGGAUUGUAAAGUUCUGUGAUUCGGGACGAAAGGGUUUGUGGUGAAUAAUCAUAGACAUUGACGGUACCGAAAAAGCAAGCCACAGCUAACUACGUGCCAGCAGCCGCGGUAAUACGUAGGUGGCAAGCGUUGUCCGGAAUUAUUGGGCGUAAAGCGCGCGCAGGCGGUUUCUUAAGUCCAUCUUAAAAGCGUGGGGCUCAACCCCAUGAGGGGAUGGAAACUGGGAAGCUGGAGUAUCGGAGAGGAAAGUGGAAUUCCUAGUGUAGCGGUGAAAUGCGUAGAGAUUAGGAAGAACACCGGUGGCGAAGGCGACUUUCCAGACGAAAACUGACGCUGAGGCGCGAAAGCGUGGGGAGCAAACAGG